CCAUGUCCUUUCUCCAUUUUGCUCCGUUCUCUAGCUUUAUCCAUCAUUUUAGAGGGCUUAUUAGGGGGCGCCGGAGUAACUGCCGGGAGCACCUCUGCUGCAUUCGGGGCAAGGGGUGUAGGAAGGAUCUUCAGGAACCCAUGUCUGGCUCUUCACAAAUUAAAGGUCGUUGGGAAAGAGGAGGGGGUGCCAAUGACUUUUAGUGUUAAAGCCCGGCCAUCUGGGGGACCUGUCAACUGUCGGGUCAGGCAGCUGGUCUGGACUACUGCAGGAAGCUUCCAAGUAUUUUUUUGUUCGUUUGUUUGAGAUGGAGUUUCGCUCUUGUUACCCAGGCUAGAGUGCAAUGGCGUGAUCCCUGCUCACUGCAACGCGCUUUGUGUACCUUGUGGGACUUAGGUACUCAAUACAUUUUUGUUGAAAAUGAAUCAGUCUCUGAACACUCUGGUGAUAGAUGGUAUAUUACCCUAAAGCUUGCCUGUAAUGUCAUACAGCUAUGUUAGGUCUUUGUUAUCUGGAGUUCCAUGUAACUUUUAUACGUAGUUACUAUUUCUGCUGUUUCAAGCCAUACGGAACUAAACA
RNAcentral lists this long non-coding RNA (579 nucleotides) under Homo sapiens (human). RNAcentral describes it as "non-protein coding lnc-NSF-1:1". Lineage: Eukaryota; Metazoa; Chordata; Mammalia; Primates; Hominidae. The record is from RNAcentral.